GAGUUUGAUUAUGGCUCAGAGUGAACGCUGGCGGCGUGCCUAAUACAUGCAAGUCGAACGGUAACAGGAAGUAGCUUGCUACUUUGCUGAUUAGUGGCGCACGGGUGAGUAAUGCAUAGGUCAUGUGCCCCAUAGUCUGGGAUAGCCACUGGAAACGGUGAUUAAUACUGGAUACUCCCGAGAGGGGAAAGUUUUUCGCUAUGGGAUCAGCCUAUGUCCUAUCAGCUUGUUGGUGAGGUAAUGGCUCACCAAGGCUAUGACGGGUAUCCGGCCUGAGAGGGUGAACGGACACACUGGAACUGAGACACGGUCCAGACUCCUACGGGAGGCAGCAGUAGGGAAUAUUGCUCAAUGGGGGAAACCCUGAAGCAGCAACGCCGCGUGGAGGAUGAAGGUCUUCGGAUUGUAAACUCCUUUUCUAAGAGAAGAUUAUGACGGAUCUUAGGAAU
Molecule: ribosomal RNA, 449 nt
Filed under: Wolinella sp. canine oral taxon 173
Lineage: Bacteria; Pseudomonadati; Campylobacterota; Epsilonproteobacteria; Campylobacterales; Helicobacteraceae
Description: bacterial SSU rRNA
Rfam family: Bacterial small subunit ribosomal RNA
Source: RNAcentral